RNAcentral lists this long non-coding RNA (910 nucleotides) under Nicotiana benthamiana. RNAcentral's name for it is "long non-coding RNA (NBEN_LNC023208)". Lineage: Eukaryota; Viridiplantae; Streptophyta; Magnoliopsida; Solanales; Solanaceae. The record is from RNAcentral.
AUCUAAUAUUUUUACUGAGCAAAAAUAGCGACUACUCUAUUAAAAUUAAUACGAAAAGAUGUGAUUACCAUUUCUUUAUGAGUGCUAUGUAAUAUUAAGGAUAUGGUGUUCUUAACAUUUACACCGUAUUCAUGAAGUUAAGGAUGUCAUGUCCUUAAUAUUUACACUGUACAUAUGAAGUUAAGGAUAUGAUAUCCUAAAGUUUAACAACGGACAAAUACAUGACAAUUUGUCCUUAAUAUUUACACAACAUUCAUAAAAUUAUGGACAUCACGUCUUUAAUAAUAACACACACAAAUAUCUAGCACAGGGGUAUUUUCGUUCGUGCAGGUAAAAAUUUAUUGAACAUUUACUAAAAAGUAAGUACAUUUUAAACAAUGGUUAAAGAGUAAUGACAUCUUUAAUUAGUGGCUAAGUGUACACUUCCCCUUACCUGGUCCUUCCGGUUUAUAUAUAAAAGCUCCUCAAAAACGCUAGGAGAGCACCACAGUGAAAAAGGAACCAAGGGUAAUGGAUACAACCACCGUAGAUAACGGAACCCUAGACCGAAUCAACAAGCAGCUGGAGUCACUACUCGUUCGAAUUAUCUCCUUUUGGACGACAAAGGAUGCUAUCAAAACAUGUCUUGUCUCUAAACAGUGGCAGUACCUCUGGACUUCUAUUGAUAUUCUCACUAUAGUAUGUAAAGAGUGUUAGGAAAUAUAAAAGAAAUAAUGGGUAAUUGAAAAGAAACUUUUGUAUUAAAUCGACUAGAAGACAAUUAACACGCCACACAAUAUAAUAUUUGUUAAUCUCACAAUCACUCUCUCAAAUUAUUUUGUAAUACAACUAAAAACACACACAAACACUAUAUUUUUCUUUCUCUUCACUCUAAGUGCUUCGGCACUCUAUUCUCUCUUUUUACAAACUG